GAAUGACUCAUGAAGAUAUUGUUCAAGAAUCUAAAAAGUAUUGGCACCAAAUGGAGGCACAUGCUGGCAAAGCAAACAACAAUAUGAUUGUGACUUGAUGCAACUCUAGUAGUGCAGAGCAGAUUUUCAUACUUUGCAGCUGCCUAAGGCACUACUUUGCACCAUCAUACCUAAACUUUUUGAGAAAGCAUGGAUGAACAUAAGACAUUUGAUGCAGCUGACGUAAAACCAAAGAACAGACAUGAAAAGAGUCAACAAGAAUUUUGUAGACUUUGGACUAAAAUGAGUGUUGUAAUAGCCCACCCAAAGCAAGGCACCCUGUUUGGCCUGCAUUGCCAUCUACAUUUAUAUCUGCUUAAGCAAGUUGAAUCAAAUAAAAAAUAAUCCUGCAUAAUU
This is a non-coding RNA of Thamnophis sirtalis, 396 nucleotides long. NCBI's taxonomy places the organism in Eukaryota, Metazoa, Chordata, Lepidosauria, Squamata, Natricidae. The record is from RefSeq and is a predicted model, not a curated record.